This 301-nucleotide ribosomal RNA is filed under the name uncultured bacterium. RNAcentral describes it as "partial 16S ribosomal RNA". It matches the Rfam family "Bacterial small subunit ribosomal RNA", at positions 509 to 807 of the family's 1533-position model. The record is from RNAcentral.
CAGUAGCCGCGGGAAUACGUAGGGUGCAAGCGUUAAUCGGAAUUACUGGGCGUAAAGCGUGCGCAGGCGGUGAGUUAAGUCUGCUGUGAAAUCCCCGGGCUCAACCUGGGAAUGGCAGUGGAUACUGGCUCGCUAGAGUGUGUCAGAGGAUGGUGGAAUUCCCGGUGUAGCGGUGAAAUGCGUAGAGAUCGGGAGGAACAUCAGUGGCGAAGGCGGCCAUCUGGGACAACACUGACGCUGAGGCACGAAAGCGUGAGGAGCAAACAGGAUUAGAUACCCCCGUAGUCCCUGUCUCUUAUAC